This 677-nucleotide ribosomal RNA is filed under the name Clostridioides difficile. RNAcentral's name for it is "partial 23S ribosomal RNA". It matches the Rfam family "Bacterial large subunit ribosomal RNA", at positions 837 to 1520 of the family's 2925-position model. Lineage: Bacteria; Bacillati; Bacillota; Clostridia; Peptostreptococcales; Peptostreptococcaceae. The record is from RNAcentral.
GCCCGGAGAUAGCUGGUUCUCCCCGAAAUAGCUUUAGGGCUAGCCUCAAGGUGAGAGAUACGGAGGUAGAGCACUGAAUGUCCUAGGGGGUAUUGCACCUACCGAAGACUAUCAAACUCCGAAUGCCGUCAUCUUAUACUUGGGAGUCAGACUGUGGGUGAUAAGAUUCAUAGUCGAAAGGGCAACAGCCCAGAUCGUCAGCUAAGGUCCCUAAAUGUAAGUUAAGUGGUAAAGGAUGUGGGAUUGCACAGACAACCAGGAUGUUGGCUUAGAAGCAGCCACUCAUUCAAAGAGUGCGUAAUAGCUCACUGGUCGAGUGAUCCUGCGCCGAAGAUUUCCGGGGCUAAAACUUACUACCGAAGCUACGGCAUCAGUAAUGAUGGGUAGGGGAGCUUCCCAUACAGGUUGAAGCAUGACCGUAAGGACAUGUGGACAGUAUGGGAGUGAGAAUGUUGGCAUGAGUAGCGAGAUGUGGGUGAGAAUCCCACAGGCCGUAAACCCAAGGUUUCCAGGGGAAGGUUCGUCCGCCCUGGGUUAGUCGGGACCUAAGCUGAGGCCGAAAGGCGUAGGUGAUGGACAACAGGUUGAUAUUCCUGUACUACCGAUAACCGUUUGAGAGAAGGGAUGACACAGUAGGAUAAGUUAAGCACACUGUUGGUUAUGUGUGCCCAAGCAUU